GAAGUGCGAUAAGUAGUGUGAAUUGCAGAAUUCCGUGGAUCAUCGAAUUUUUGAACGCAAAUUGCACUUUCUGGUAUUCCGGAGAGUAUGCCUGUUUGAGGGUCAGUAAAAUAAAAAAUCGAUUUGUUACCUUAUCGUGAUAUUUCGGAAUUGAGCUAUCUUAAUCUUUAGGUUAAGAGGCUUAAAAUUGACCAUUUUUGGUAUGAUUUAAGCGUGCUAAGAUUACGUUUAAUGAGUAUCGAUGUUUAUUAGGCAUGACCAUGAUCAUGGUUUCGUGCCCAUAAUUUUAUCAUGAAAUGACCUCAAAUCAGGUAGGAUUACCCGCUGAACUUAA
This 334-nucleotide unclassified non-coding RNA is filed under the name uncultured Glomeraceae. Its description in RNAcentral is "sequence contains ITS1". The stretch from base 1 to 105 matches the Rfam family "5.8S ribosomal RNA", at positions 50 to 154 of the family's 154-position model. The record is from RNAcentral. Lineage: Eukaryota; Fungi; Glomeromycota; Glomeromycetes; Glomerales; Glomeraceae.